This 335-nucleotide unclassified non-coding RNA is filed under the name soil metagenome. Its description in RNAcentral is "partial contains 5.8S ribosomal RNA, internal transcribed spacer 2, and large subunit ribosomal RNA". The stretch from base 1 to 120 matches the Rfam family "5.8S ribosomal RNA", at positions 35 to 154 of the family's 154-position model. The record is from RNAcentral.
GAUGAAGAACGCAGCGAAAUGCGAUAAGUAGUGUGAAUUGCAGAAUUCAGUGAAUCAUCGAAUCUUUGAACGCACAUUGCGCCCCUUGGUAUUCCAUGGGGCAUGCCUGUUCGAGCGUCAUUUGUACCCUCAAGCUUUGCUUGGUGUUGGGUGUUUGUCCUCUCCUUUGCGUUUGGACUCGCCUUAAAGCAAUUGGCAGCCAGUGUUUUGGUAUUGAAGCGCAGCACAUUUUGCGAUUCUAGCCGAUAAUACUUGCGUCCAUAAGCCUUUUUUAACUUUUGACCUCGGAUCAGGUAGGGAUACCCGCUGAACUUAAGCAUAUCAAUAAGCGAGGA